RNAcentral lists this transfer RNA (77 nucleotides) under Collimonas fungivorans Ter331. RNAcentral's name for it is "tRNA-Asn". The record is from RNAcentral. Lineage: Bacteria; Pseudomonadati; Pseudomonadota; Betaproteobacteria; Burkholderiales; Oxalobacteraceae.
CGGGCUGUAGCUCAGUUGGGAGAGCGCGUUGCCAUUGGCGACGAGGUCAAGGGUUUCAGUCCCUCUCAGCUCCUCCA